GAUGAACGCUGGCGGCGUGCCUAAUACAUGCAAGUCGAGCGAACAGACGAGGAGCUUGCUCCUCUGACGUUAGCGGCGGACGGGUGAGUAACACGUGGAUAACCUACCUAUAAGACUGGGAUAACUUCGGGAAACCGGAGCUAAUACCGGAUAAUAUAUUGAACCGCAUGGUUCAAUAGUGAAAGACGGUUUUGCUGUCACUUAUAGAUGGAUCCGCGCCGCAUUAGCUAGUUGGUAAGGUAACGGCUUACCAAGGCAACGAUGCGUAGCCGACCUGAGAGGGUGACCGGCCACAGUGGACAUGAGACGGGGCCAGGACCCCGAGGGGGGGCACCAGUGGGGAUUCCUCCGCAAGGGGCGAAGGCCGGAAGGAGCAGCGCCGGGGGAGGAAUGAAGGUCUUGGGAUCGAAAACCUCUUUUAUGGGGGAAAAAAAAAUGGUAAAGAAACUAUGCGCGUCUUAAGGGUCCCAAUCCAGAAACCCACGCCUAACUACGC
This 496-nucleotide ribosomal RNA is filed under the name uncultured bacterium. RNAcentral describes it as "partial 16S ribosomal RNA". It matches the Rfam family "Bacterial small subunit ribosomal RNA", at positions 28 to 506 of the family's 1533-position model. The record is from RNAcentral.